UUCUCAGGAAGCUACUGGAGAUUUUUCUCCACCAAAAGGAAGAAGUAAACCAAGAAAGAGGAAGGUGUGGGAUGCAGAAAAUGGGAGACACAGGGCAGGAAAGAGAGAAAUGAAAUGCCUGAAAGGGUGGUGAAGGGAGAUCCUCGGAUGACAGAUUUGAACCUGACACAGAGGAAAGUCAGUCAAGAUUGCUGCAGAAUUGUUUCGUUGGAGAAGUUGGUCCAAAUAACCUGAGAGCCAGUAUGGAACACAGAAGUUGGUGAAUCGCCGCUGUGACAACCUUUAGCAAUACAGAAACUGAGGCACAGAGAGGCUGGUUCACUUGCCCAACAUCACAGAGCUGGAAUCUGGACUGAAAAGCCAUGCAGGGAAUGAGGCCAUAAACAGGAGCUAAAUGUUGAAGGCUACACAGAGGACCUGUGGACAGGUGAGUGUUACGAGAUCGAUGCGAAGGCAGAAGCUCUGAGCAGAGAGGAGUUGUAAAGUAGGUGGACAUUCAUGGGACCAAACAUUUGCCCCUUGUUCAUUUAAUGUUUUAGACUUAGCACCUGAAUCCCUAUGUUGCUUGUCAUCAAUUUGGCAAUUUCCAAGUUGACA
Molecule: long non-coding RNA, 597 nt
Organism: Camelus dromedarius (Arabian camel)
Lineage: Eukaryota; Metazoa; Chordata; Mammalia; Artiodactyla; Camelidae
Exons: 4
Source: RefSeq, a predicted model, not a curated record